CUACGUGCCAGCAGCCGCGGUAAUACGUAGGUGGCAAGCGUUGUCCGGAUUUAUUGGGCGUAAAGCGAGUGCAGGCGGUUCAAUAAGUCUGAUGUGAAAGCCUUCGGCUCAACCGGAGAAUUGCAUCAAAAACUGUUGAACUUGAGUGCAGAAGAGGAGAGUGGAACUCCAUGUGUAGCGGUGGAAUGCGUAGAUAUAUGGAAGAACACCAGUGGCGAAGGCGGCUCUCUGGUCUGCAACUGACGCUGAGGCUCGAAAGCAUGGGUAGCG
This 270-nucleotide ribosomal RNA is filed under the name uncultured bacterium. RNAcentral's name for it is "partial 16S ribosomal RNA". It matches the Rfam family "Bacterial small subunit ribosomal RNA", at positions 501 to 770 of the family's 1533-position model. The record is from RNAcentral.